GGGGGCAAGCGUUGUUCGGAAUUACUGGGCGUAAAGGGCUCGUAGGUGGCCAACUAAGGCAGACGUGAAAUCCCUCGGCUUAACCGGGGAACUGCGUCUGAUACUGGAUGGCUUGAGUUUGGGAGAGGGAUGCGGAAUUCCAGGUGUAGCGGUGAAAUGCGUAGAUAUCGCUUGGAACGCCAAUGGUGAAAACAGGUUGCUGGGGGUGUGCUGACGCUGAGACACGAAAGCCAGGGGAGCGAACGGG
Molecule: ribosomal RNA, 247 nt
Filed under: uncultured bacterium
Lineage: Bacteria
Description: partial 16S ribosomal RNA
Rfam family: Bacterial small subunit ribosomal RNA
Source: RNAcentral